CUUUGACACGGAGCAUCUGCGUGUGGUAUCGCGCUGUACCUGAAUACAGCCGCUGGAUGAUGGCCGAAACGUUCCCGAAGAUGCUGGCGUACAUUAAAGCUGGAGAAGAACCAUUAGGAGAGACUUACAUCCAAUGAGCAUGACACAGAUGGAGAAGAUCUUCUCCGAGUUGGUGUUUGGAGACACGUUUCCGAAGCCCACGCUGGUCAGUGAACUGAAGGUAUGGCCUCUCCACAUUUCCAAUGGCGUACCAGAUGCAGGCAAGCCAAUGAGCGAUAAGAGCAAAUAUACACAUGAGGAGCAUCAAAACCGCCGCACCGUAUUCAGAGUAACGGUCAAGCUUCCUGGCAACACGAACCAAUCGCAGAAGUCGCGCUGUCUUCAAAAGGCCAAUUAGAGUUGUUGUCUUGUGAAAAGAGAGAGAAGCACCUGCUAACACCAGAGAUCCUUCUCAUCAAAAUUUCUCACCGCGAGGAUAAAAUAAACACCCGACAUGAGAGACAUGGGUAAUGAGCUUCAGCAGUCGUGGUCCUGGCUCAGAGACAGGAGAUACAUCUUCAUUUGAAGGGUAGAAUCUGAAUAAAGACACAGUGCUCGGGAAGCCAACGACGGGUCCCUACGGUACAGUAUCUACAGCACGACCCUACUGAGAGAUCAUUUGUUUCGUUUUCAAUUUCACUGCGGGCUCACAAAGUUGAUGUUUGAACCCAGAGCUGAUAUUUUUAGAAAGCGUCUUAAUAGAUGCGUCUGACAGCAAUGCCUGACACUCGCUGACAGUGUGUUCGCGAGCCCGCAUGCGGAGGGAAGCAUGUGAUUUUCCUUUUGUAUCUUGU
Long non-coding RNA from Triplophysa dalaica, 833 nucleotides. RefSeq lists it as uncharacterized. The record is from RefSeq and is a predicted model, not a curated record. The transcript has 4 exons. Lineage: Eukaryota; Metazoa; Chordata; Actinopteri; Cypriniformes; Nemacheilidae.